UCCCCGAUGGCUCAACGGCAGAGCAUCCGACUGUUAAUCGGCAGGUUGCUGGUUCGAAUCCAGCUCGGGGAG
Molecule: transfer RNA, 72 nt
Filed under: Yimella lutea
Lineage: Bacteria; Bacillati; Actinomycetota; Actinomycetes; Micrococcales; Dermacoccaceae
Description: tRNA-Asn
Rfam family: tRNA
About the family: Transfer RNA (tRNA) molecules are approximately 80 nucleotides in length. Their secondary structure includes four short double-helical elements and three loops (D, anti-codon, and T loops). Further hydrogen bonds mediate the characteristic L-shaped molecular structure. tRNAs have two regions of fundamental functional importance: the anti-codon, which is responsible for specific mRNA codon recognition, and the 3' end, to which the tRNAs corresponding amino acid is attached (by aminoacyl-tRNA synthetases). tRNAs cope with the degeneracy of the genetic code in two manners: having more than one tRNA (with a specific anti-codon) for a particular amino acid; and 'wobble' base-pairing, i.e. permitting non-standard base-pairing at the 3rd anti-codon position.
Source: RNAcentral